AGAAUGAACGCUGGCGGCAGGCCUAACACAUGCAAGUCGAGCGAGGUAGCAAUACCUAGCGGCGGACGGGUGAGUAACGCGUGGGAACGUACCUUUUGCUUCGGAAUAGCCUCGGGAAACUGGGAGUAAUACCGAAUGUGCCCUACGGGGGAAAGAUUUAUCGGCAAAAGAUCGGCCCGCGUUGGAUUAGGUAGUUGGUGGGGUAAUGGCCUACCAAGCCGACGAUCCAUAGCUGGUUUGAGAGGAUGAUCAGCCACACUGGGACUGAGACACGGCCCAGACUCCUACGGGAGGCAGCAGUGGGGAAUCUUAGACAAUGGGCGCAAGCCUGAUCUAGCCAUGCCGCGUGAGUGAUGAAGGCCUUAGGGUUGUAAAGCUCUUUCGUGGGGGAAGAUAAUGACGGUACCCCAAGAAGAAGCCCGGCUAACUCCGUGCCAGCAGCCGC
Molecule: ribosomal RNA, 445 nt
Filed under: uncultured bacterium
Lineage: Bacteria
Description: SSU rRNA
Rfam family: Bacterial small subunit ribosomal RNA
Source: RNAcentral